This 253-nucleotide ribosomal RNA is filed under the name uncultured bacterium. RNAcentral's name for it is "partial 16S ribosomal RNA". It matches the Rfam family "Bacterial small subunit ribosomal RNA", at positions 524 to 776 of the family's 1533-position model. The record is from RNAcentral.
UACGAAGGGGGCUAGCGUUGUUCGGAAUUACUGGGGGUAAAGCGCGUGUAGGCGGGCCGUUAAGUCGGGGGUGAAAGCCCAGAGCUCAACUCUGGAAUUGCCUUCGAUACUGGCGGCCUGGAGCAUGAUAGAGGCGAGUGGAAUUGCGAGUGUAGAGGUGAAAUUGGUAGAUAUUCGCAGGAACGCCAGUGGCGAAGGCGGCUCGCUAGAUGAUUGUUGACGCUGAGACGCGAAAGCGUGUGGAGCAAACAGG